Molecule: long non-coding RNA, 2207 nt
Filed under: Homo sapiens (human)
Lineage: Eukaryota; Metazoa; Chordata; Mammalia; Primates; Hominidae
Description: HSALNT0372260
Source: RNAcentral
CCUGACCUCAUGAUCCGCCCGCCUCAGCCUCCCAAAGUGCUGGGAUUACAGGCGUGAGCCACCUUGUCUUACUCAUAUUAUCUCCUUACUCUCCUUUCCUAUGAUUCUUUUUCCACGUUGCCCCCAACUCCCCCCAAUUUCUUUCAGUCAUUUGGCAUUUAUUGAGUGCCUAGUGCAUGCCAAGUAGGGUGCUGGGUACAUUACAGACAUUGUUUGGUUCAGUAUUCACAGUAACCCUGCAAGGACAGUGGUCUUUUCCUCAUUUUUGUGAAGAAGCCAACUCAGCAGUUAGGUAACAUGCUCACCAUUACACAGCCAGCAAUCUGUAUUCACACUUAGCCUUGCUAUUCCAAAACCCUUCUUAAUCUUCAUUAAAAACAAUUCACCCAGCUCUCUCUUAAAUGAAGAAAUGAUACUGACCAACGUGGCCAUCUCUUAGGACCUAGGUAAUCUCACUACUUGCAGAUUUGCUGGCACUCCCAGCUAAUGUGUGUUCAAUGCUCAUGGGAGGCAGCACAGGGCAGUGGUUAGAACACAGACUCUGGAGCCUGGCCGGUCCCUGCUCUGCCCCAAGCAUCUGUGAACUUUGGACAGGUUGGCCAUCCCCUCCCUCGAAAAACAAGCCAGGUUCGAUGUGGUCGAGUGAUGAAAAAGAGGUUUGCAUGUUUUUAAAUUCAUUCACUUGACAAAUAUUUGAUAUGCCUACCACAUGCCAGGUAUUAUUAUAGAAACUGGGGACAGAGAAGAGGACCAAAUACAAAAGCCGGUGUCCCCAGGAAGCUUACCUUCCAGUGUUAGCAGGGUUCAUGGUAAAGACAGAAAUGCCUCCAUCACCCCAGAGAGCAGGACACACAGGAAGGAGGGGCAGGUGUGCAGCUAACCUCUUACUCAUCCUUCAAGAUCAUCGUAGGCCAAUGAAUCCUUGAAUUUGUGGUCAACAAGAGGUCUUCUGUAGGCUGAAGUCAGGGCUGAGUGGUCUGCUUGUGAUCUCCUAGGAAUUCAAGUAAAUCCAUGUACUUCUUGAACAUAGCUCAUAGCAGAGGACUGAGCCGUGAAAAUGCUUACAUGCCUGCCUCCUCUGACACAUUAUAAGCUCCCUGAGGAUGGGGACCAAGGCUUAUUUCAUCGUUGUAUCCUCAGCAUCUGACCAAUAGCAGGCACUAAGUCAUUACUGAAAAGAACUGAGCAUGACACCCAAGGGAACAGAUGAGGUGGAGGUAGGACAAGGAAGACUGAGGAGUCUCCAUGGAACCUUCCAGGGAGAGACAGUCAAUAAACUCUCAUCAGUCGAAGUGAUUUCUAUUGUACAGUGCAAACCUAUGUGUGCCGUGAAAAACAGUAAGGGCAAUAGGGCUUAGGAGGAGGGGAAGGCUGUGGGUGCCUGGGGUGGCAAUGGGGAGCCUCACUAAGGAGGCAAAGAUGGAACGAUGAGGGUCAGCCAUCAGAUGGAAGGCUCUAGAGCAGAUGCUGCCAGCUAGGCGAGGACCAGGUGGGCCGAGCAGACACUGGCUUCAGCGUGCCCUCUCCUGCCCACCGUUCCCAUCAAUUUCAGCACUACUGCAGAAAGAGACUUUUAAACAGCAAACGUCAAGCGUACACUUCACGAGGACAGGGACCUUCAUGUGUGGGAUGUAACUCAACACCCGAGGGCAUAGUGGACGCUCAAUGAAGAGCUGUUGAACAAAUGAAGGGAUACAGAAAGUCAAGAGGGGAAAGGUUUGGAAAGCGGCGGAUGUGUCGUGCGAAAUGCAGCACGUGGUGAAAGACAAUAAGCACCCGAAGAACCUUGGUCUUUGUUCUUAUUUAUUUAUCUGUUUUUAUCAUCUCCUAUUUAUUUAUGGUCAAAGGCUGACCUAUAGAGUGUUCAGUUGUUCUCCACAGUGGUUUUACUAGUGUGCUUGGAAAAUAGGAAUGAGCUAUUUAGAGGAUUCUCUUACGGUCCUAUUCCGGAGUUUAACUGCAGCCAGUGAAAACAUCCUCGCUCGGUGGUGUAGCGUCACAUCCACAAUCAAAUCAGUAUUUCACUCUUAGAAUAUGGACUGCUUCUGUCUAUAUCUUCACAGGUGUAAGAUUUAUGUUUAACAUUGGCAUGAGAAUAAGUGAAAGUCAGGUAGUCAAAUAUCCUUUUGUAAAUAGGAAUAGGGUAAAAACCCUUUAAUAUAGGAUUGUAAUACUUGGCAUUCAAUUUAUAAUUUUUGUAGCAUUCA